RNAcentral lists this ribosomal RNA (348 nucleotides) under Triticum aestivum (bread wheat). RNAcentral describes it as "partial small subunit ribosomal RNA". Lineage: Eukaryota; Viridiplantae; Streptophyta; Magnoliopsida; Poales; Poaceae. The record is from RNAcentral.
AUGAAUGCGCCAGAGCAUUUGUACCUAGCCCUAUUCAUGCUGGGAAGGGGUGUCCAAGUAUGUGCCUCUGAGUCAUACAUCUCUGCGGAGCUCAAUACAUUACGAGAAUAAUCAGCGCCUCCCACGACAUACGCCUUUUCGCCAACACUUGCUGAUCCAAACGAGAACCGCGGGGUGUUCAUCUCAUCCACUAGCCCUGUCCAUGAAUUGGUAAGGAUGCUAUAUCUCAUCCGCCAGCCCUCCCCAAACAGCAGAAGCUCGGUUCCUAUAGCCAGCGAAUCCCAGAUGACGUUUUGAGCAGGUGGCAUCUUGGGCACAUGGAUCCAGCGCCCAGUGGACGGGUCAUGA